UGAUAUAGAUGUCAAAAAGUCAAAAAUGCGUACAUGCUUGCAUGUUAAGCUUUUUGACCUUUUGACUCUAACAAACAUAAGGAAUUAGCGAUUUACACAGCAAAUCCGCGGUUUCCGCAUGUUUGUAGAAUUGCGUGAGUGACUUUUGUCACGGAGCAAUUCGUAUAUCA
RNAcentral lists this small RNA (170 nucleotides) under Butyrivibrio hungatei. Its description in RNAcentral is "Clostridiales-1 RNA". It matches the Rfam family "Clostridiales-1 RNA". Lineage: Bacteria; Bacillati; Bacillota; Clostridia; Lachnospirales; Lachnospiraceae. The record is from RNAcentral.